This is a long non-coding RNA of Homo sapiens (human), 1719 nucleotides long. RefSeq lists it as uncharacterized. The transcript is spliced from 3 exons. The record is from RefSeq and is a predicted model, not a curated record. NCBI's taxonomy places the organism in Eukaryota, Metazoa, Chordata, Mammalia, Primates, Hominidae.
CACUUACCCAGAUCAAGAGACAAAAGAGCUCCAUACUCCAGAGAGAGGCCCCUUGCCAGUUGUCUAUGUCAUCACUGUGGUCUGCAUCCUAACCUCAGGGAAACAGUGAGUUAAACUAUCUUUCCCUGAUGUGCCUCAGUUUCCCCUUCUGCACAUAGAUGGGAUUCUGAUUCCUAUCCUACCUCACUCAGAUGAUUGUUCUAGACACACAAGGAGCUAAUUAAUGGAUGUACAGGGUCUUGGGGAAAGUCAAAGGCAUGGCCGCUGCUGUUAUUGCUAUUCAUUCUUACUUAUUUUCACUCAUCCUGUCAGCCCAAGCUUAAGUCCCAGCCUCUGUGUGAAGCAUCCCCCAUCUCCUGGUCCCUCCCUGUGUCCACUACUGUCACCCCAAUGAUAACAACAGUCUCCAGGCGGCUACUGUGCCCAGGUCCCCUACUUGCAUUCUCUUGCUUAGCCCACACAACGAUGCCAGGAGCCAAGUAGGAAUGACCCGUUUUGCAAGUCAAGAAACCGAGGCUGAUCUUGCCCAAGACCGCACAGAAGAGAAAGACAGAGCCAGGAUCCAAUCCAGAUUGGGGCCUGCCAAGUCUGCCCAGAUCUUCCCCUGUUUCCUGCCGCCCCCUCUGCCUGGGGACCACCAGCUGUGGGGACUGACGAUCCCAGCUGCCUGUCCUUCCCAGUUUCUAGUAGAGCCUGAAGAAACUGUUUACCUCUCACAGAGCAAGGCUCAGAGACCGGGACACCCUUAGCUUUCACAAAUUGGCUUGGUUUGCCACACACUGUUACCAUUUAAGGGGCAGCCAGUAAAAAGGAAGUAUGUUCCGAGUUAACAGAGCUCCGAGCUCUUGGCCAGCACAUUACCCACUACAGGCCUGAACCCCAGGGGCUCAUAAGCCAUCCAAGUAUUGGAGGAAGCACACUGUGGUGGGUGUGGGGGUGCCCAGGCGGCUGCAGGAAGGAACGCUAGCCACUCUCAUUCCCAAUCCACCCGGCAGCCCAGCCUGGGACCACAGGAACCCAAACACCAGACGUGGGCCCCUCAGCAUGAUUUCCAUGAAACUUAAUAGAUGUGUUUCCAUUCCUUCCCAGUGAACACAGCCCGCAGCCCGGCAGGAGCCAGGCUGUUCCCAGGCAGGAGCCAGCGGGUGUGAGGCUGAAAAGGAAGAAGGUGAGACGAGCCACAGCCCCCUCCCCUGCAGCCCAAGGUCAGAGAAGGAGCUCAUCAAGGGGACAGGCAGAACCAGGCCCGCACUGCUGGCUCCUAUACCAUGCUCACGACCUUCUGGACUGACCCAGGGAAGCUUGCAGGACACAUGUGCUUCCAGGCAGAAGGAUGGACCCCCACCACCCAUCAGACACAGCCUAGAAUUAUCUGUGGAUGAACCUGCCUUCUCCAUGGACUGCCAGCCCCCAAAGCAGGAACCACGUCCUUAUAGAGGGCCUGGCACACAGUAGGGAACUGGGGUGGGGUACUGCCAUGCAGCAGGUGGCCCACAAAACAAUUUUGGGAGAACAUAGAUUGAUGUGAAAUCACAGCGAGAAAGUUACUCCAGUUCUCUUCCAUUCCUCACGAUGACACCAAGGACAAUACCUCAGUCUGGAGCCAGUCUAUCUCGAAGACCUCUCAGGCACUUACUCAUCACUCUGUUUAACAAAAGAAAACAGUCCUCGGGCUUGAAAUUGUUCACCACCAACCUCAUCCAGCCAGAAUUUACUAAC